RNAcentral lists this unclassified non-coding RNA (320 nucleotides) under plant metagenome. Its description in RNAcentral is "partial contains 5.8S ribosomal RNA, internal transcribed spacer 2, and large subunit ribosomal RNA". The stretch from base 1 to 105 matches the Rfam family "5.8S ribosomal RNA", at positions 50 to 154 of the family's 154-position model. The record is from RNAcentral.
GAAAUGCGAUAAGUAAUGUGAAUUGCAGAAUUCAGUGAAUCAUCGAAUCUUUGAACGCACAUUGCGCCCGCCAGUAUUCUGGCGGGCAUGCCUGUUCGAGCGUCAUUACAACCCUCAGGCCCCCGGGCCUGGCGUUGGGGAUCGGCGGAAGCCCCCUGCGGGCACAACGCCGUCCCCCAAAUACAGUGGCGGUCCCGCCGCAGCUUCCAUUGCGUAGUAGCUAACACCUCGCAACUAGAGAGCGGCGCGGCCACGCCGUAAAACACCCAACUUCUGAAUGUUGACCUCGAAUCAGGUAGGAAUACCCGCUGAACUUAAGC